This 253-nucleotide ribosomal RNA is filed under the name uncultured bacterium. Its description in RNAcentral is "partial 16S ribosomal RNA". It matches the Rfam family "Bacterial small subunit ribosomal RNA", at positions 524 to 776 of the family's 1533-position model. The record is from RNAcentral.
UACGAAGGUCCCGAGCGUUGUUCGGAAUCACUGGGCGUAAAGGGAGCGUAGGCGGCGCGGUAAGUCAGAUGUGAAAUCCCGGGGCUCAACCCCGGAACUGCAUCCGAUACUGCCGUGCUAGAGGAUUGGAGAGGUAGCUGGAAUUCUUGGUGUAGCAGUGAAAUGCGUGGAGAUCAAGAGGAACACCGGUGGCGAAGGCGGGUCUCUGGGCCGAUACUGACGCUGAGGAGCGAAAGCGUGGGGAGCGAACAGG